RNAcentral lists this ribosomal RNA (253 nucleotides) under uncultured bacterium. Its description in RNAcentral is "partial 16S ribosomal RNA". It matches the Rfam family "Bacterial small subunit ribosomal RNA", at positions 524 to 776 of the family's 1533-position model. The record is from RNAcentral.
UACGUAGGGUGCAAGCGUUGUCCGGAAUUAUUGGGCGUAAAGAGCUCGUAGGCGGUCUGUCGCGUCUGCUGUGAAAACUCAGGGCUUAACCCUGAGCUUGCAGUGGGUACGGGCAGACUAGAGUGCGGUAGGGGAGACUGGAAUUCCUGGUGUAGCGGUGAAAUGCGCAGAUAUCAGGAGGAACACCGGUGGCGAAGGCGGGUCUCUGGGCCGAUACUGACGCUGAGGAGCGAAAGCCAGGGGAGCAAACGGG